CCCUUAGAUGUUCUGGGCCGCACGCGUGCUACACUGACGAAUGCAACGAGCUUAUAACCUUGGCCGAAAGGUCUGGGUAAUCUCCAAAUUUCGUCGUGAUGGGGAUAGAUUAUUGCAAUUAUUAAUCUUCAACGAGGAAUGCCUAGUAAGCGCAAGUCAUCAGCUUGCGUUGAUUACGUCCCUGCCCUUUGUACACACCGCCCGUCGCUCCUACCGAUUGAAUGGUCCGGUGAAGCGUUCGGACCGUGGCCUUUGGACGGUUCGCCGUCUGUUGGCUGCGGGAAGUUCGUUAAACCUUNUNAUUUAGNGGAAGGAGAANUCGUANCA
RNAcentral lists this ribosomal RNA (327 nucleotides) under uncultured eukaryote. RNAcentral's name for it is "partial 18S ribosomal RNA". It matches the Rfam family "Eukaryotic small subunit ribosomal RNA", at positions 1470 to 1796 of the family's 1831-position model. The record is from RNAcentral.